CGAUUUUUCAAAAAAGACGAGUUUUUACUCCCUUCCUUAUUAUAAAAAAAAGAAUUCACUAAACUUAUCGAAUUAACUUCUCAUCGAUAUAUUGUUUCAUCGAGAUCCAAUCCAAAUCACGAUGUCGUUUUCUUGUUCCUGAACGGGCCCCUUUAAUCUUUUUAGGUUUAUGCUCUACUCCGGGUAAAGAAAGAUACGCCCGAUUUCGAUUUGUACAUAUAGGACAAAU
Molecule: long non-coding RNA, 229 nt
Filed under: Panax ginseng (ginseng)
Lineage: Eukaryota; Viridiplantae; Streptophyta; Magnoliopsida; Apiales; Araliaceae
Description: long non-coding RNA (PGIN_LNC004229)
Source: RNAcentral